GAGUUUGAUUCUGGCUCAGGAUGAACGCUGGCGGCGUGCCUAACACAUGCAAGUCGAGCGCGGUUGUGCUUAGUAUUGAGUGUUUUAUUGAUAUAAAACAUUGAAUUCUAUGCACAACUGAGCGGCGGACGGGUGAGUAACGCGUGGGUAACCUGCCCUAUACACAUGGAUAACAUACUGAAAAGUUUACUAAUACAUGAUAAAAUAGUUUUUCGGCAUCGAAGAAUUAUCAAAGUGUUAGCGGUAUAGGAUGGACCCGCGUCUGAUUAGCUAGUUGGUGAGAUAACUGCCCACCAAGGCAACGAUCAGUAGCCGACCUGAGAGGGUGAUCGGCCACAUUGGAACUGAGACACGGUCCAAACUCCUACGGGAGGCAGCAGUGGGGAAUAUUGCACAAUGGGCGCAAGCCUGAUGCAGCAACGCCGCGUGAACGAUGAAGGUCUUCGGAUCGUAAAGUUCUGUUGCAGGGGAAGAUAAUGACG
Molecule: ribosomal RNA, 482 nt
Filed under: Peptostreptococcus sp. canine oral taxon 033
Lineage: Bacteria; Bacillati; Bacillota; Clostridia; Peptostreptococcales; Peptostreptococcaceae
Description: bacterial SSU rRNA
Rfam family: Bacterial small subunit ribosomal RNA
Source: RNAcentral